AGAGUGUUAUGAUGUUGGAAGAUCUCUUCCGAGUCUAGCUCAGCGCAUACACCUCGAUUUAUCGGGGUGUA
Molecule: non-coding RNA, 71 nt
Organism: Enterococcus sp.
Lineage: Bacteria; Bacillati; Bacillota; Bacilli; Lactobacillales; Enterococcaceae
Source: Rfam